AAAACGGCCCUUUUCAGGGCCAACAAAAGUUCCGACGUUGACUUUU
Molecule: non-coding RNA, 46 nt
Organism: Trachymyrmex cornetzi
Lineage: Eukaryota; Metazoa; Arthropoda; Insecta; Hymenoptera; Formicidae
Source: Rfam